AUUUUUUAUUGUUAAUGUAACUUAAUUCCUUAAAACCUGGAAUAUUAAUAUAUAUAAUCUAUUAAAAGCUGAAGAUUAAAUAUGUAAUUUUUGCUUUUAGUUUCUUGUGUUAGUAUGCUUAAAGGUAUCAAUACUUUUAUUCUAUAUUCAUUAGAAGAAAGGUAAUAAAUUUAAGUUUCAUUGCUGAAAAAUUUUAAAUGAGUGCCACCCCAUAGCCAUAGUCAUUUUGAUUAAGCAUAAUUUAACUUUCAUUAUAGCAUAAAGAGAAAAUAAUUAUUUUAGUAUGGAAACAGUGAUAGGCAGUGCUGUAAACAAUAUUCUCUGAAAAGUUGUGGGGGUCACAAAGAAAAUUUUAAAGAAUAUAGAAGCUUUUUUAAAAAAUCUUUUUAGUGUAGUUUCUUAGAACAAAUUAUAAACAUAAUCAUUCUGAAUAAUCAAUUUUUAUUUAGUCCUUAACUAUGUAAAACCGUAUCAGUAGAAAAAUGUGCUGGUGUCGUGUCUAAAGAUGGAUAAAUUUCUUUGGAAUUUAUCUUUGGAGACCAACUUUAUGAGGCAGACUUUUUGUCUACAGCUUUGGAACCAAAAAAACUUCACUCUAAUUCAGUCCUAAAGGCUAUUUUACAUUUUGCCGGGGUAAAGUGACUUCAAGAUACAGCAUGGUGUCUUGUAUCUAGUAGAAUAUUGUGCUAGCCAUCUAAAAAAGUGGAUUUGAGCCUUAAUUUGGCCGUUUCUCAAUUGUCUAGUUGACCUUAGACAAUUAGUGUCCAUGGCUUUCCUUUUGUUUUUCCCAUACUGAGGAACUUAAACUACAGCUCUAAAAUGUCUUUUGGUUUUAAAAUUCUGAAUGCUUAUAUACUACUAUUAAAAAUUAAAAAUCCCUCAAAUAGUAGGGCAAUACAGGUAAUAUGAAAUUAAAUGUAUUUUUAUCCAUUAUUUGAUUCCCACCUGUUAUUUUAUUUAGAAUACGAAUACAACCAAGUAGGGAAAAACGUAUCAGUAACUGCUAUUCAACUUAAAUUCAGCGAAUUAAUAGCUGAAUAGAAAUAGCUAAUGACAAUGCAAAAGAGAAAACAAGCCAUAUUGCUAAGAAAAGGAUAGUAAGCUGCUUAGAAAGAACCAGCCUGUGUUGGAAAUAAUUCUCUUCUAGAUAAUUUACCUUAUUUUCUUGGCUUGUACUAAUUGAAUGGAAGUGGUUAAUUUGUUCAGAGUUUAUUGCCGUUUGAUGCCACCCCAGUCUAUAGUUCUGUGUGACUUUCCAUAUUGAAAGAGUAGGGUUAGUAGCCAGGUUGUCAGUCUUUUACAAAUGUCUACAUAAAUGUCUACAUAAAUCUGAAAGUGGUUUAUAUUCAAGGUUAGUUUUUCAGUAGCGUCUCCUCCUUAUUCAUUCACUUUUACUGUGAAGACUGAAAUCCAAAAGCCAGGUUCCCCAAAAAAGUAUUUUUAAAAAAUUUUAGGGGACCAAAAUAAAUAGAGGAAGACCAAUAUAAAAAAAUAUGUUCAACUAUUCCAUUUUAAAUUUAAAGCAGAAAAAAAAAUUGUGCCCCUCAGACCUAAAGGCAGCUUUAAAUGUAUAUAGUUUGGUGAAACAUUUGGGAAAUAUUAAUUUGGAGGUUUAGAAGCAUACGAAAAACAAAUUCAAAGCACUUGAAAGUAAAGACAAUAUCAUGAGGUCGAAAAAACUUCAAAAGGAUAUUAGGUAAGAGAAAAUGUGAAUGAAAGCAGUGAAUUUCUGCCUCUCCUCGUAUUUAGGGUACUUAAAAUUACUAAAAAAUACUGUCUUUUUACCAUACAGCUAGAUGGCCUGUAUUAUUCUUAAUGUGGCCAAAGGAGUGAAGACUGAUUAGGGUUUUAGAAUUUGGAACUGUAGUCACAUAAAGGCAUCUUUUGCAUUUCUUAAACCAGUAAUCUACAUUUUCUCCUGGAAAUGGAGAAAUAUGAAAUGUGCUGUGCAUAGCUUUUGGAAUAGAAAACAAAGUUUUAAAAGAAUGGAUAUGUUUUCUUGCACAACUUGUAAAAUUUUAAUUAAAAAAUUACCUCAUUUUUCAAUCCAUAAGGUGCUUUGCUCAAGUUUGUGGGAUGUUUGUACCAUCCCAUAAAAACCCCCUUCACCCAAACUGUAUUUGAAAUAUGCAAAAUUCAUAACUAAGGGAUAGCAUUCCUUGGAGACUUUGUUUUGUUUUACUCUUGUUUACCAGCUGGGCCAACAUGGUAGAUAUAUGAGAUUCACAUAUGGUUUCAUUAAAGCACAUAGGAAAGUGCUCAGUCAAUAUUUAAUUAGUUUAAUUAGAUAAGGGAAAGGAGAAAUCCUAAAUUUGAUGGAUUCUUUUAUACUGUGAAUAUAUUUCCAUCAGUGUUGGUAAGAUAUCAAAUGACUAUCAGUUGAUCCCAGUCAUCAGUGACUUAUUUGCAUAUUUAAGCCCUAUUCACAAGAGACCAUAAUCAUUUUAAUCUUAUAUUUUCCCUCAGGAAAUUUAGGGACUCUGAAGCCCCUAUUUUAUUCUCUUGGAGUAAACUGUUGAGUGUAGUUACAAAAACUUUUAUUUAUGACUUAAAAAAAGUUUAGCUGCUAUUUCAGUGAAAGUGUAAAAUAAAACGGUCAUGAUUUUUUUCAAUUACAGAAUAGUUACAAAUUUUACCAUGUUCAUCUAUUCCACAGAGCAUGUUAAAAACAACAACAACAAAAACCUAACAGCAAUUACAACCUUGGUGUUGCGUUUAUUCUAAUCAGAGUGAAUGAUUAUAAUCACACUUUGCUAUUUUAACAUAAAUUGGUGCUUUAGAGCAUUAAAGAGGAAGCAGCAGGCCCUGUACUCAGUAUUUAUUAUUUCUUGCCUCAGAAUGCAAAACAACUUUAAAGUGUCUAUAUUCAUAUAUAUGUGCAUUUCUUAAGAUUUAAAUACAAACUGUUGUUACUCCUUAAGCUUCAGGCUUUCUGCGAAAGCUCUAAGAAUAUCUUCAUUACUAUGCUUGGUCAACUGGAAGAUGGUAUUAAUAAGGUCAGAAUUAGGAAUUGGAUUGCUCUGUGGGUCCUCCGGUAUUGUGCAGAGGAAAGAAAAAUGUCUUUCACACCACAAACUGUGUGUCUGAACCCCAGCCAAACAAAUGUGUUCCAUUGGUCCAAUAUAUAAGCAUUAACAACAACAACAAAAAAUUUAAAACAAGUAAAUUAAUGCAUUCACAUGAUCACUUCUUGAAAAUGGUUCAAAGCAUGUUUUCCUGAUGGUGGGAUUGUUUAAAUGACAUGUUUUAAAGUUUUUAAUACUUUAUUAGUUAUGAAGUGCUUCUUUUAUAUGUUAAGUUUAGGUUGCCAGUACUCAUAAUUUUUAUUUCUGCAAUUAUGUUAUAAUGAGUUGUUUGCAUGCCUACUUAACCCAAGUAAAACGAUGCUGUUUGCUCUGGAAUGUUCAUCUUUUAGACAGGUUUUGGCUCAUUUCCAAUCAUGGUGCAAUAUAGUGUAACAUUCAUUUGUUUUCAUUCAACAGUUUUAUUUUUGUCAUAAUAAAUAAUUACUUUUCCAAU
RNAcentral lists this long non-coding RNA (3519 nucleotides) under Homo sapiens (human). Its description in RNAcentral is "non-protein coding lnc-CACNB2-1:1". The record is from RNAcentral. Lineage: Eukaryota; Metazoa; Chordata; Mammalia; Primates; Hominidae.